GACGAACGCUGGCGGCGUGCUUAACACAUGCAAGUCGAACGCUGAAGCUCAGCUUGCUGGGUGGAUGAGUGGCGAACGGGUGAGUAACACGUGAGUAACCUGCCCCCUUCUUUGGGAUAACGCCCGGAAACGGGUGCUAAUACUGGAUAUUCACUGAUCUUCGCAUGGGGGUUGGUGGAAAGGUUUUUCCUGGUGGGGGAUGGGCUCGCGGCCUAUCAGCUUGUUGGUGGGGUGAUGGCCUACCAAGGCUUUGACGGGUAGCCGGCCUGAGAGGGUGACCGGUCACAUUGGGACUGAGAUACGGCCCAGACUCCUACGGGAGGCAGCAGUGGGGAAUAUUGCACAAUGGGCGAAAGCCUGAUGCAGCGACGCCGCGUGAGGGAUGGAGGCCUUCGGGUUGUAAACCUCUUUCGCUCAUGGUCAAGCCGCAACAGUGGUUGUGGUGAGGGUAGUGGGUAAAGAAGCGCCGGCUAACUACGUG
This 481-nucleotide ribosomal RNA is filed under the name uncultured bacterium. Its description in RNAcentral is "partial 16S ribosomal RNA". It matches the Rfam family "Bacterial small subunit ribosomal RNA", at positions 28 to 507 of the family's 1533-position model. The record is from RNAcentral.